RNAcentral lists this ribosomal RNA (3564 nucleotides) under Triticum aestivum (bread wheat). RNAcentral describes it as "partial small subunit ribosomal RNA". The record is from RNAcentral. Lineage: Eukaryota; Viridiplantae; Streptophyta; Magnoliopsida; Poales; Poaceae.
AUGGUGGACCUUGAGGCCAACAACCAUCUUCCUGAUCAAGCACAAGGAGAAGAUGAUGUGGUGGAUCUUGAGCCCGACCAUGGAUCUCAGACGCAAAGCACACGGACAAGUAGAGCCCAAGUUGAUGACUAUAAUGUGGACCUUGAGGUCUAUAAGCUAUUUGUGGACCUUGCAUCGCCCUAUCCUGAUCGACUUGGCAUCCUAAAAUCCUUUGGGUUGCUUCAUGAGAAGCAAGCAUAUGUUUUGUUGCAAAAUAGGCUAUCCAAUACGUUUAAUCUUUUAUACCCGAAAAAGAAGAUGAUCGAGCUGUGUGACGAAACGGGGGAACAACCAGAUAUGAAUCCUGGUGCUUUGUUCAUACGUCUACCAGCUAUGAUACUGCCAUGGGCAGCCCUCGCCCUCUUCCACAAUAGCCACAGAGAAGGUUAUGAUGAUAACGACGUCAAGGUUACAUAUGUCUUGUUCUGCUGUACCGCAGUGUUGGAGUACUUCUGCAGGUUUUUCUCAACUAGUCAUAUUUCUUCAAAGGCUCAAAGGCAAGUCCAUUCGAGUUCUAGGACGCCUGAUGGGGAUUGGGCAGUACAAUUGGUAACAUGGGCGCUUGACCAAGUUGCAAGGAUAAAGCUAGAGAAUGCCCAACGGCGAGGGAGUGCAGUUCCCCCGUUCCAGUGGCAAAGGACCAUCCUGUACAAGCUUCAGUGGGCAAGAAAGAAGGAUGCCCUGUCCAUCAGUGAGCUAAUAAAUAUCAUGAGCAUUGGUGCACUCAAAGAUAGCCUCGUAGGCCAAUAUGCUCUUGUAGGGUUCUUUGUCCACAACAAAAAGCACACCAAGAUGACCAGCAUCCUGAGUUUUUUGAAUUGCAACGACUUCUUUCACCAACAUUGGUUCAUGAAGCCCUGCAACUCUUCCUUUGCAAUAACAGAGUUAGUCCUCAAGUAUGUAAAGAAAGGGUGGGAAGAUCAGAUAAAAGAUGUUGGCAGUUACUGGAAGUUCAAUGACCGCAGGGGGCAAUGGACUCUUGAGGCUAACAAGUGCGAUCAAGACCUGGGUUGGAGCUUAAGGAGUCCAUUUGACGAGAGCGUCCUUCUCUGGCACAUCGCCACGGAUUUCUGCUUCUACCACUUGGGCGCAUCAGCAGAUCACCAAUGUGCCACUGCUCAGUGUAUUGAAGAUGCAUCAGGUGAAGGCCAUGGUUGUGCUGUUUGGCGGAAUCUGCUCAUCACCGCUAAUGCCGAACUGGAGGAGAUUCUCAAGGAUGAAGAUCUGUCGCUCGAGAAGAUCAUCAAGGGUGACAAGCCUUCGCUCAUGGAGAUCCUCGGAUGCAGUAAGCCAUUUCUGAAGUUCUUCACAGGCAGAAAGCCAUUGCUCGAUGAAAUCGAAAGAGAAUUUACGCAGAGAAUAAUUGGCAAGGUGCAGCCCACACAAUGCCAAGAACAAGUUGUUGAACACACACAUUCGCCACCUGGUGCAAAGAAAUAUCCAACUGCACAGGAAGGUUGUUUUAUCCGUGAUGCCUGUAAGAUUUCUGAAGCGCUGUUGUCUUUGGGUGAUGAGAACAAGACAUGGGAAGUGAUCGAAGGUGUGUGGGUGGAGAUGCUCUGCUUCUCAGCCAGGAUGGAGACCUUGCCGGAGAGGCUGCAGAGGAUGGAGCUUUCAAGUGAAGGAAAUGCCGGUGCCCCUCCAUCGACUUCCCAGAUACCUGGGAGCGAAGAUCCACCUCCUUGCAGACGCUCAAGGCCUCAUGAAGCUGCUGCUGCCGGCGCAUCCAUGUCUGAAUCCCAAGAAAUACUGCUCCUCGGUGCAGAGCUUGAUGCACUAGUCCAGUCUGAUGCCUGGCAGUCUGUUUGUGAGCUGUUGGAGCUGCCAGAUUACCAAGUCUGUAGUAUGGAUGCCAGGUCAGAUGCUUUUAUCUUCCUUGAUCUCCAUGAUUAUCUUGUUGGUAUAUCACUUCCCAGAGGCACUGCUCCAUCUCAAAAUGCUUACGAGAUUGGAGUUAUUUAUAGGUUAAGGGGUUUGAAGGGCGACGAGCUGUGUUGGUUCAGGAUAAAGGGAUGGAGGCCAGCAUGGCAACAUGUCUUGCCUCUUGAUUGGUCCGGCGGCAGCUAUCUGCUUAUUGGAAUCCCUGUCAACCGAACAAGGCUUAAGCUGUUGCCGUCUCCAUCCGCGAGCUGCAGUGAAGACUUCACCUGUCACCCGUUCACUCUCAUUUUUCCCCCUCUGAAAAUGGAUGCAGCUCGUUGCCGCUCUGAAAUUGCUGAACUCGGGUCGGCAGCAGUGAGCGAGAAGAAAAGGAGCACGCACGCUCCACGAGGCAGGCAGAAUGUUGCUUGCUCACGCGGCCAUCUCCGGUCUGCAAAUCAGGAGAUCGGAGCCCGGGCUGCGCACACAUCUCGCAGGACAGAAGAGGAAAAAGAAGCCACAGACCAACCACCACCGGAGAACCGUACGAUACCCAAUCUUCCCAUCACCGGAAAGCAGAGAGGAAAAAUAAAGCCGGCCACACGGCGCGUUGCGGUCGCCGAAGCCGCGGACGAUCGGCCGCCGAGGCGCCGCCCGUGUGCACGUCGAGGGCGAGAGAAAGCAUCGCAUCGUAUCCGCCGAAAUCCGAAGCGUGACAGGACCGCGUCGGGCGCGGGAGGCCCACGAGCACGAGGCGUCACCGCCGGAGAGGACACAUCCAAAUCCACCUCACCUGCCGCGAUCGUGCGUCCCCACGGCCCAUCACGCCGCUCGCCCGCCCGCCGUCGCAGUCGGUCGACAGUGGCCGGCCAUCAGGCCAUGGCUCGUCCAUACUCCACCUACUACCGCUACUGCGUGCAGGCAGCAGCAGACCGGCGAAGCAUCGUGCCCGCGGUCGGUCAACGAAAGUCACGAGACUACCACCACUACAACCAGCACCGCUCGCUGACAUGUGUGAUUCAUCUCCCUGACGAACACUCUCUUCCACCUCCAACGGAAUCUGGAUGCGCACGAAUGUGCAACCCAACCCAACCCUGCAGAAAUUCCAGCUGCAGGUGUAGCGUAGACGAUCCGGCGAAUCCGGAGUCAUGCGGGGGCAGCGGCAGCGCGUGGAAGGAAAAUGAAGGGAAAGUAAAACGAAUCAAGUCGAUCGGUGCACCUCAUCACACGGCGUGGAGAGAGGGACCGGGCGACUCUGCUGGAGCUCACCGCCGCCGAUGGAAAGGCGACGGCGACCCCGCGGGCUGGCGGGCAUACGUCGACGUGCCACCGACCCGCCGGGAAGCUAGUGUCGAUGGAUCUCCAAGCACCAUAGCCCGCGACCUCGACGAGAUCCGGGGAUUCCCAACACCGCUGGCUCCUAGACGAAGGCAAAAGCCUCGCCCGACCGCGAACGGAGCCCGGAGAAAUUUAUUCCGACACGACACCACCGCAACGGCCUCGGCAGCGUCUCCCUCAACCCUAACCCUACCACAUACCCACCUAGCGAACAGACCCGAGGUUCCCUCUCCCUCCCGCCGCCGGAGCGACCGACGGAGAGAGAGGGAACCGGUGGCGUCACCGGCGGCGCGCAAGGGAUCCCUCUUCGCCUCCUUGAUCGCCUAG